AGUCGAACGAUGAUCAGGAGCUUGCUCUUGUGAUUAGUGGCGAACGGGUGAGUAACACGUGAGUAACCUGCCCCUGACUCUGGGAUAAGCGUUGGAAACGACGUCUAAUACUGGAUAUGACUUCCGGCCGCAUGGUCUGGUUGUGGAAAGAUUUUUUGGUUGGGGAUGGACUCGCGGCCUAUCAGCUUGUUGGUGAGGUAAUGGCUCACCAAGGCGACGACGGGUAGCCGGCCUGAGAGGGUGACCGGCCACACUGGGACUGAGACACGGCCCAGACUCCUACGGGAGGCAGCAGUGGGGAAUAUUGCACAAUGGGCGAAAGCCUGAUGCAGCAACGCCGCGUGAGGGAUGACGGCCUUCGGGUUGUAAACCUCUUUUAGUAGGGAAGAAGCGAAAGUGACGGUACCUGCAGAAAAAGCACCGGCUAACUACGUGCCAGCAGCCGCGGUAAUACGUAGGGUGCAAGCGUUGUCCGGAAUUAUUGGGCGUAAAGAGCUCGUAGGCGGUUUGUCGCGUCUGCUGUGAAAUCCCGAGGCUCAACCUCGGGCUUGCAGUGGGUACGGGCAGACUAGAGUGCGGUAGGGGAGAUUGGAAUUCCUGGUGUAGCGGUGGAAUGCGCAGAUAUCAGGAGGAACACCGAUGGCGAAGGCAGAUCUCUGGGCCGUAACUGACGCUGAGGAGCGAAAGCAUGGGGAGCGAACAGGAUUAGAUACCCUGGUAGUCCAUGCCGUAAACGUUGGGCGCUAGAUGUAGGGACCUUUCCACGGUUUCUGUGUCGUAGCUAACGCAUUAAGCGCCCCGCCUGGGGAGUACGGCCGCAAGGCUAAAACUCAAAGGAAUUGAC
RNAcentral lists this ribosomal RNA (844 nucleotides) under uncultured bacterium. RNAcentral's name for it is "bacterial SSU rRNA". It matches the Rfam family "Bacterial small subunit ribosomal RNA", at positions 60 to 914 of the family's 1533-position model. The record is from RNAcentral.